This is a long non-coding RNA of Betta splendens (Siamese fighting fish), 1244 nucleotides long. RefSeq lists it as uncharacterized. NCBI's taxonomy places the organism in Eukaryota, Metazoa, Chordata, Actinopteri, Anabantiformes, Osphronemidae. The transcript is spliced from 2 exons. The record is from RefSeq and is a predicted model, not a curated record.
UCAUAGAUUUCACCUGUUUCCUUCGCGCAGAGACCAAAAUGUCCGUUUCUAAAGGAUCCUGUAGAUGAGGACGCUGUAUUAAUUCACACGGCAUUGAAUUUACGCCGCGAGAGGAUUUUAACGCCACGAGUUAAUUUUCUGUCAUAUCGCCGUGCAUAUUUAUUUGAGCGGUAACGUUUUUCUCGAGACUCCAUACAUAUAUUAAUAAUCUUAUUCACCCAUAUGUCAAACACAUCACCCAUCGUGGCCGUGCUUUUACAUCUGAACAGAUUCGUGUUGCGUUACGUUUUUUUUUUUGCAAACGGUAGUUUUCUUUAUAACUUUGGAGAUGCUGAGCACAUUAGUGAAGCCACUGUAUGUAGAAAAGUUCGACCUCAAGCGCUUUCCUUGACACAAACUCCUUAAAGCCAUUAAAGAGGAGUUUCACAGGAUUGCAGGAGAGAUUGACGGCUUUCUGCUGGAGAUAGGGGUUAAUGGCAGCCCACACUACUGACCCCUCACCCAGAACCUGAAGCAGGCCCCCAGCAGCGCUUUGUCACUGCAGAACAAGAGCCCGGGUGGAAAUGACCAUAGGCCUGUUGAAAGCACGUCUUCAGUGACUACGUCACCUCAGGGUAACAGCUGAGAGGCCUGUGACAUUAAUGUGGCAUGUGUUGUUCUCCACAAUAUUGCAAUUAUUAGAGAGGAGCAACACCCUGCCCUAAAAUUACAAGACCCUGAGGAAGACUCCUUCCAUCACAGUGAUCUGCAGAGUGGAUGGACAUAUUUGCUUUAAUGUCUUAAUCAACCAUCACCACCACCACCAAUAAAAGAAACUGAAUAGAUGUAAAUCAUAAUUUAUUUGUUUUUUUUUUUCAUUUCCUACAAAUACAAAGGCAAUUGUUAGAUUUUAUGAUUCUUCCAAUAAUUCAUACAAUUCACCUUUAACUAUACACUCAUCUCCAGCUUGUGUUUGGGAAUUUCAAUUUCUAGAUCUGGCUUUUCAAUCUUGUGGUACAAGUAUAACAUUUCCUUGAGAUUUAGUUUAUACAACUCAAUAACCGGUAACUUAAAAUACAGAAGAUUUAGAGUUACAUGACAUCUUGAAAUGACAUGUUCCUCUUUACUCUUACAGAAUUGAACUCUGGCAUUUACUGAACAUCACUGAACUGUGUGCAUCUGUGCAGCAGAAUGUGACUGACCUCCUCCUGCUGUUCUUCCACACUCUGGGGCAGAGGGGAGAUAAUAAAGUCACUAUACUUGGA